CGGCUAUACGUAGGCGCGCUCCAGCCUAGGAAAUAUUCUACGGGGGCACGCACGCCUGUUACUACGCGUUAAUCUUGUCGCGCCCUAGCUAGUGAUCAUGCAUACACGGGAAUAUUUAUUUUUCUUCUUUUUGACAAGAAGAACACGGCAGAAGAAUUGUCCAUAAGUCCAUAUUGAUCAAAGAAGAGGAAAAUAAUUGGAAAUUGUAAGAUAGUUCUAGAGGGGAAUCUCGCAUAUAUAGUCAAAAACAACACAAGGAGGAGGGGCUAACAUCGUAUAGAAGCGACUACCUUUUAUUGGAAAAUCUGCACAUAUAUUUCUUCUAAACAAAUUGCCCACACCAAGCAGAGG
This 351-nucleotide long non-coding RNA is filed under the name Brachypodium distachyon (stiff brome). RNAcentral describes it as "long non-coding RNA (BDIS_LNC004193)". Lineage: Eukaryota; Viridiplantae; Streptophyta; Magnoliopsida; Poales; Poaceae. The record is from RNAcentral.